Molecule: ribosomal RNA, 381 nt
Filed under: uncultured bacterium
Lineage: Bacteria
Description: bacterial SSU rRNA
Rfam family: Bacterial small subunit ribosomal RNA
Source: RNAcentral
UACAGAGGGUGCGAGCGUUAAUCGGAUUUACUGGGCGUAAAGCGUGCGUAGGCGGCUUUUUAAGUCGGAUGUGAAAUCCCUGAGCUUAACUUAGGAAUUGCAUUCGAUACUGGGAAGCUAGAGUAUGGGAGAGGAUGGUAGAAUUCCAGGUGUAGCGGUGAAAUGCGUAGAGAUCUGGAGGAAUACCGAUGGCGAAGGCAGCCAUCUGGCCUAAUACUGACGCUGAGGUACGAAAGCAUGGGGGGAGCAAACAGGAUUAGAUACCCUGGUAGUCCAUGCCGUAAACGAUGUCUACUAGCCGUUGGGGCCUUUGAGGCUUUAGUGGCGCAGCUAACGCGAUAAGUAGACCGCCUGGGGAGUACGGUCGCAAGACUAAAACUC